This is a long non-coding RNA of Sinocyclocheilus rhinocerous, 301 nucleotides long. RefSeq lists it as uncharacterized. The record is from RefSeq and is a predicted model, not a curated record. Lineage: Eukaryota; Metazoa; Chordata; Actinopteri; Cypriniformes; Cyprinidae. The transcript is spliced from 3 exons.
AACAACAGUGACAGAACUUGGUCCCAUUAAGCUGAGCAGUACAACUAAGCUGUGUACACCUACAUGUGAAGCUGGGACCCAACAGCUCCCGACUGGGUCAAUAACUACCCACUGCUGUGACACUGACCUCUGCAAUGCAGCAGAUGGCGUGUAUAAGGGAAGCUUCCUCCUGCUGUUGUCUCCUCUGCUCUUCUACUUCCUGUUUCAGUGAGUCCAGCUGCACUUCAGAUUCUACAGCUGCAUGAAAAAAUGAAUGUCACACGUUUCUAUUAAUACUUUACUGAAUGAAGUGUGCAUGUUG